RNAcentral lists this ribosomal RNA (300 nucleotides) under uncultured Lactobacillus sp. Its description in RNAcentral is "partial 16S ribosomal RNA". It matches the Rfam family "Bacterial small subunit ribosomal RNA", at positions 496 to 795 of the family's 1533-position model. Lineage: Bacteria; Bacillati; Bacillota; Bacilli; Lactobacillales; Lactobacillaceae. The record is from RNAcentral.
GCGAACGGCGGGCGAGGGGCGGGGGGAAUACGAAGUGGGCUUGCGUUGCUCGGAAUGACUGGGCGUAAAGCGCACGGAGGCGGAUUGUUAAGUCGGGGGUGAAAGCCUGGAGCUCAACUCCAGAACUGCCUUCGAUACUGGCGAUCUCGAGUUCGGGAGAGGUGAGUGGAACUGCGAGUGUAGAGGUGAAAUUCGUAGAUAUUCGCAAGAACACCAGUGACGAAGGCGGCUCACUGGCCCGAUACUGACGCUGAGGUGCGAAAGCGUGGGGAGCAAACAGGAUUAGAUACCCCAGUAGUC